GACGAACACAAACAAGAGGAAAG
RNAcentral lists this non-coding RNA (23 nucleotides) under Drosophila melanogaster (fruit fly). Lineage: Eukaryota; Metazoa; Arthropoda; Insecta; Diptera; Drosophilidae. The record is from RNAcentral.